CUUGUCUAUGUUUAUUUCCUAGGCUGCCAUAACAAAGUGCUCCAAGCUGCAUCAUUAAAACACUGGUAUUUAUAUUCUCAAAGUUCUGGAGGCCACAAGUCUGAAAACAAGGUGCUAGUCCGGUCAUGCUCACAUUAAAGUGCCUAGGAAAGGAUCUUUAAACUUCCUCGUCCUGCAGGUGUAUCACCUGUUCUCUGUUUCCAACUUUGUAUGGUGCGUGUUCCUCCCCAUGACUGCUGUCUCUAUGCCUGUUCUUAUAAGGACACCAUUCAUAUUACAUAAAGGGCCCACCCUCCUCCAUUGUGAGCUCAUCUUAACUAAUUAUGUCUGCAGCAACACUAUUUUGAAAGAAGAUCAAAUUCUGAGAAAGAUAGGAAUUUUAGCAGGUACUAUUCAACCCACUAUACCACUAUGGAUAAAAUUUCUAAGUAAAGACCAAGGCACAACAACGUAA
RNAcentral lists this long non-coding RNA (454 nucleotides) under Fukomys damarensis (Damara mole-rat). RNAcentral describes it as "lncRNA (ENSFDAG00000023300.1)". The record is from RNAcentral. Lineage: Eukaryota; Metazoa; Chordata; Mammalia; Rodentia; Bathyergidae.